This 464-nucleotide ribosomal RNA is filed under the name uncultured bacterium. RNAcentral's name for it is "partial 16S ribosomal RNA". It matches the Rfam family "Bacterial small subunit ribosomal RNA", at positions 29 to 507 of the family's 1533-position model. The record is from RNAcentral.
ACGCACGCUGGCGGCGUGCUUAACACAUGCAAGUCGAACGGAAAGGCCCCUUUGGGGGUACUCGAGUGGCGAACGGGUGAGUAACACGUGAGUAACCUGCCCUUGACUUCGGGAUAACUUCAGGAAACUGGGGCUAAUACCGGAUAGGAAUCCUUGCUGCAUGGUGGGGGUUGGAAAGCUUCGGCGGUUUUGGAUGGACUCGCGGCUUAUCAGCUUGUUGGUGGGGUAGUGGCUUACCAAGGCUUUGACGGGUAGCCGGCCUGAGAGGGCGACCGGCCACAUUGGGACUGAGAUACGGCCCAGACUCCUACGGGAGGCAGCGGUGGGGAAUAUUGCACAAUGGGCGGAAGCCUGAUGCAGCAACGCCGCGUGCGGGAUGACGGCCUUCGGGUUGUAAACCGCUUUCAGCAGGGGCGAAGCUUGUGGUGACGGUACCUGCAGAAGAAGCACCGGCUAACUACGUG